GGUUGAAAGAUGGCUUCUUGCUAUCACUUACAGAUGGGCCCGCGGCGCAUUAGCUAGUUGGUGAGGUAACGGCUCACCAAGGCAACGAUGCGUAGCCGACCUGAGAGGGUGAUCGGCCACACUGGGACUGAGACACGGCCCAGACUCCUACGGGAGGCAGCAGUAGGGAAUCUUCCGCAAUGGACGAAAGUCUGACGGAGCAACGCCGCGUGAACGAUGAAGGUCUUCGGAUCGUAAAGUUCUGUUGUCAGGGAAGAACACGUACCGUUCGAACAGGACGGUACCUUGACGGUACCUGACGAGGAAGCCCCGGCUAACUACGUGCCAGCAGCCGCGGUAAUACGUAGGGGGCAAGCGUUGUCCGGAAUUAUUGGGCGUAAAGCGCGCGCAGGCGGUUCCUUAAGUCUGAUGUGAAAGCCCACGGCUCAACCGUGGAGGGUCAUUGGAAACUGGGGAACUUGAGUACAGAAGAGGAGAGUGGAAUUCCACGUGUAGCGGUGAAAUGCGUAGAUAUGU
RNAcentral lists this ribosomal RNA (516 nucleotides) under Halobacillus sp. YIM 93819. RNAcentral describes it as "bacterial SSU rRNA". It matches the Rfam family "Bacterial small subunit ribosomal RNA", at positions 198 to 699 of the family's 1533-position model. Lineage: Bacteria; Bacillati; Bacillota; Bacilli; Caryophanales; Bacillaceae. The record is from RNAcentral.